UUACCUACGGGACGCAGCAGUGGGGAAUAUUGCACAAUGGGCGAAAGCCUGAUGCAGCAACGCCGCGUGAAGGAAGAAGGGUUUCGGCUCGUAAACUUCUAUCAACAGGGACGAAAGAAAUGACGGUACCUGAAUAAGAAGCCCCGGCUAACUACGUGCCAGCAGCCGCGGUAAUACGUAGGGGGCAAGCGUUAUCCGGAAUUACUGGGUGUAAAGGGUGUGUAGGCGGCAUGGUAAGCCAGAUGUGAAAGCCUUGGGAUUAACCCGUGGACUGCCUUUGGAACU
Molecule: ribosomal RNA, 285 nt
Filed under: uncultured bacterium
Lineage: Bacteria
Description: partial 16S ribosomal RNA
Rfam family: Bacterial small subunit ribosomal RNA
Source: RNAcentral